This 253-nucleotide ribosomal RNA is filed under the name uncultured bacterium. Its description in RNAcentral is "partial 16S ribosomal RNA". It matches the Rfam family "Bacterial small subunit ribosomal RNA", at positions 524 to 776 of the family's 1533-position model. The record is from RNAcentral.
UACGUAGGGUGCAAGCGUUGUCCGGAAUUAUUGGGCGUAAAGAGCUUGUAGGCGGUUUGUUGCGUCUGCUGUGAAAUUUCGGGGCUCAACCCCGAACUUGCAGUGGGUACGGGCAGGCUAGAGUGUGGUAGGGGAGACUGGAAUUCCUGGUGUAGCGGUGAAAUGCGCAGAUAUCAGGAGGAACACCGGUGGCGAAGGCGGGUCUCUGGGCCGAUACUGACGCUGAGGAGCGAAAGCGUGGGGAGCAAACAGG